RNAcentral lists this ribosomal RNA (642 nucleotides) under Triticum aestivum (bread wheat). RNAcentral's name for it is "partial small subunit ribosomal RNA". Lineage: Eukaryota; Viridiplantae; Streptophyta; Magnoliopsida; Poales; Poaceae. The record is from RNAcentral.
AUGGUUUGUUUAGAUAAUGAAGAAGCAAUUGCUUCAAUGGCAAGGGCUGGCAGAGAAAACAGAAGUUUGCAUGUUAUAGUAGAUGAGAGAAAUCAUGUGAAAUCAGAAUGGGAUGAUCUCAUAUAUAGAGGCUGCCUUGAGCUGCCAAGGGUAAUGACUCAAAGGAAAAUGCCAAGUGGAUUUAGGCCCGGAGAAGGCACUUCUGAGAGCACUAGUUCAUGUAUGAUGCUGGUGAAUGAAGCAGAACCACAUAGUUAUGUCCAUCGAGAACAUGAAGAGGAAGCCGAGAAAGGGCAUGGAGAGGCAACAGAGGAUGAGCAUGGAGAGAGAGUAGAGGACGAGCAUGUAGAGGCAACAGAGGAUGAGCAUGAAGAUGGAGCAGAGGAUGAGCAUGCAGAUGGAUCAGAGGAAGAGCAUGGAGAGGACAGUGGCACAGAUGAAGAUUUUUAUGAAAGUGAUUAUGAUGUUCCUGAUGGGGAUGAUGAUCUAUUUGUUCAGAAUGUUGAUGAGAGUGUGAAUGACCACAAUGAGCAGAAGGAAUACAUAGAUGAUGAAGAUCCAGUGGAAGAUGAUGAUGAUCUAAACUUGUCUAAGAAAGAGCUAGAAAGGUUGAAGUACUCUUUCAAGGCAUUUAAUCCAUAG